UCUCCGUCCUGGUUGGAGCCGGGCAGGUCGGUGUGGUCCUCUGUGCCAGGGAGGAACUGCAGUGGGAGCAGCGCAGGAGUGAACGGAUCGACCGCUGAGCUUGUUGUGCCUACCACGCUGCUCCGGGGGAAAAACGUCAUUGAAGAUCUCUGGACUGUGUUGGCAGGUGCAGACCUGGCGCAGACGGUGCAGGUCUGGGCGGGUCCGUGGACUCAGGUUCGGUGGGUUCGACUCGUGGACUGUCACUGCACAGGAGUUCAGGAGCAAACAGGGUCCAACUAAAGCUGCUUUAAGGAACAAUUUCUCACUUGGAACAACCCACACCUGCUCUGCUGAUGUACCUCUGAGCAAGUCACCAACCAAACCACAUAAAGGACAACUCUCUCAUUAUGAGUAUUUGUUAGAGUACUGAUCAUUGAUCAGUUAUAUUCAUUAUGCACAGCCAUGUAUUCCCCUUAAUGUCCAGUUAACUGUCAUUGUAUCAUAAGAAGGCACUGCCACCGUGUGGUGAUCAGUGAACAUGCUGGAAGUACUCAAUGACCCUUUGUUCUCUUGUACUCUGUUAUAUAAAAUUAAACAUCUUUAUAUUUUUUGAACAAGCUUCCAAACAAG
Molecule: long non-coding RNA, 612 nt
Organism: Lates calcarifer (barramundi perch)
Lineage: Eukaryota; Metazoa; Chordata; Actinopteri; Centropomidae
Exons: 2
Source: RefSeq, a predicted model, not a curated record